AGUGGUAUGAGGCACCACUGAUUUAGUUUGGUUGACUGCACCCCGGUCCCUCUGACUUAUUAGCCAAUCACUGCGCUUACCGAGUGGAGAAAAGUAGGCUGUGUCCCUCCUCCUGAUCUCUCGCUUCCGGGUCGUUGUAUGUGCCGCUAGCAUCCGAGCACAGGUAAGCACAUAUGGCCGUGCUGUGUUGUGUAUAUUCGUCCGUAUUUCAUUCAAUUAAAACCGUCGUUCCCUAAUAGAUCCGGCGUCUUCACCGCGGUCGAGCCGAUCAGUCGGGGCGGUGUUUAUUGCCGCAACCAGAGCAUUGUGCUGAAGGCCGACGGUGGUGGUGGUGGUUCUCCUGGGUGGUGGUGGUCCUGUGUGCUGUGUGAUCCCUUUUUAAGAUUUUCUUUGUUUACACGUCACCUUUUGCUGUGUGUGUGUGGGGUGUCCUCCUUUUCCUUUUGGAUGUCACUUCCCCUACCAAACCCCUCCUCCAGCCGGUAAGCCUCAGACUACAUCCCCCUUUUAGUUGGGCUCUUUUCUUUUUUUUUGUUACAGUGUCAACCUCAUGAUUGUUUUAAUAAUAAAUUGUUAGACAUGA
Molecule: long non-coding RNA, 583 nt
Organism: Solea solea (common sole)
Lineage: Eukaryota; Metazoa; Chordata; Actinopteri; Pleuronectiformes; Soleidae
Exons: 2
Source: RefSeq, a predicted model, not a curated record